UAGUAGAUGCACCCUGAUGGCUUCCCGUUCAACUUGAGCGGGAUUUUUUUU
RNAcentral lists this small RNA (51 nucleotides) under Oxynema acuminatum PCC 6304. Its description in RNAcentral is "Oscillatoria acuminata PCC 6304 Nitrogen stress-induced RNA 1". It matches the Rfam family "Nitrogen stress-induced RNA 1". The record is from Rfam by way of RNAcentral. Lineage: Bacteria; Bacillati; Cyanobacteriota; Cyanophyceae; Oscillatoriales; Oscillatoriaceae.